GUUUCAUAGUGGAGCAUACCACAUGAAAUUCCUUCAGAUGUUUGUAGGGGUCCUCACCUGUAAGACCACAAAAAGUAGGCAGUAAAUGGAUUAGUCCGGAUUUAAGUUCAAAUGUAGCAUCUAAAUUAGGAUAUUCAAUGCACAGAGGUUGUUGAUUUAAAUUAGGAGUUGCCAAAUCCUUGAGAGUUCUAUUGUUGUUUUGAAUCGCCAUCUCUUCUU
This 219-nucleotide long non-coding RNA is filed under the name Panax ginseng (ginseng). Its description in RNAcentral is "long non-coding RNA (PGIN_LNC006712)". Lineage: Eukaryota; Viridiplantae; Streptophyta; Magnoliopsida; Apiales; Araliaceae. The record is from RNAcentral.